GUGUCAGCAGCCGCGGUAAAACGUAGGAGGCGAGCGUUAUCCGGAUUCACUGGGCGUAAAGCGCGCGUAGGCGGUUGGUUAAGUCGGACGUGAAAGCCCCUGGCUCAACUGGGGGAGGCCGUUCGAUACUGGCCGGCUUGAGGGUGAGAGAGGGAAGUGGAAUUCCCGGUGUAGCGGUGGAAUGCGUAGAGAUCGGGAGGAACACCAGUGGCGAAAGCGGCUUCCUGGCUCACCCCUGACGCUGAGUGCGCGAAAGCGUGGGGAGCAAACGGGAUUAGAAACCCCAGUAGUCC
RNAcentral lists this ribosomal RNA (293 nucleotides) under uncultured bacterium. RNAcentral describes it as "partial 16S ribosomal RNA". It matches the Rfam family "Bacterial small subunit ribosomal RNA", at positions 505 to 796 of the family's 1533-position model. The record is from RNAcentral.